Non-coding RNA from Pogona vitticeps (central bearded dragon), 974 nucleotides. Lineage: Eukaryota; Metazoa; Chordata; Lepidosauria; Squamata; Agamidae. The record is from RefSeq and is a predicted model, not a curated record.
ACUUAGCUAGGCGGAGGUGGCCAUGGCAACUACAGACACCUCAGCAUCAUUGGGAGGCCAGUGGCUGGAGGAUCCCACCUCUCCUUCCAGGUCCCUGGUCAAGUGGAGCCCCACAUGACAGCAACAGUAGCCAAAGUGGUGGAUAAGGUGGGAAGCUAUGCCCAAAGGGAGGCAAGCCAACCCCAGCACGGCACAAGAUGUUUUCACACAUUGGAAACCCACACAUAAAUCCUGAAUCUCUAACAGCCACUAUGCAAAAGCAGAUAUUAAAUAAAGAAGCUGCUCAUCAAAUUGAGAAGAGAUUGCCACAGAUGUACAAAGAGCGGGAAAAAAAUCAAUUCAUUCUCCUUUCGAAGCAUUCCUCUUCCGGAUUGAAAAAAAAUCAUGAAAAUCAAAUCCAGAAUAUUGCAAUGCCUUGUCUACAAAAUUGACAUAUUUGAAAGAUACAGAUGUAGCAAAUUGCUUUUUCCUGAUGCAAGGUGAAAGUCUGGGGCUUGGAUUAAGGAAAUUUCAGCAAGAGUUGUGUCAGCACCAUUCGCAGGAUUACUUUUUGGAAGCUCAGGAGCCAUUUCCAAGUGAUACUAGCCACCAUAGCAUUUACCAAACUUCAUUUGUCCAGUAUCCACAUACUGAACGGUCCCCUUGGGGGCGAUUUCCCAAAAGCCAUGUAGAUCGCUGUGUCUCUUUAAAGCGAACAGCUGAGAACGAGUGUUUAUGGUUUUCAAAAUGCUAUGCUACUCCUAAUAAUUUAGCUCCUUCCAAGUCCAAUAGAAACUUUCACUCCAAGUCCAAACAACUUUUACCUGCAGAAGAAGUGAUGGGUGUUAAAGAGGACUCUAAAGAAAAUUCCAGUUUGGAUGGGCCAUGAAUGUUUCAAGAUCAGCAAGAGCUAUCUUUUUUCUCUCAAUCUGAAAUGAUACUAAGAAUGUAUAUGGCAUUAAAACGACAGGAACUAGAUGAGUGGUUGUAUUUGA